This 1221-nucleotide long non-coding RNA is filed under the name Nicotiana tabacum (common tobacco). RNAcentral's name for it is "long non-coding RNA (NTAB_LNC011322)". The record is from RNAcentral. Lineage: Eukaryota; Viridiplantae; Streptophyta; Magnoliopsida; Solanales; Solanaceae.
UCGAUAUUUAUAUUUCAUAUGUUUACAAAAGUAAAUUUACUACAAUGACUCCACUCAACGAAAAUAGAUGAAAGAGAGGAUACCGUCGUUGGAAAGAGACCUAACCUGUAAAAAGUUGGUUGGAAAUUGGAAAGAGACGAUACCGUCUGUUGACUUGCACGACAGAAACAAGAUUAGACAAAGUACUUAUUAUGGUGAAUAUAAUAUAAAUAAUAGGGUAAAGGGUAAAAUUGAAAUAUAGAAUAAUAAGUGUGGGCAUAAUUGGAAAGGAAAAUACGAAACAAUCCCACCACGCGGAUUUGGUUGUUUCAUAAAAUGGAGUUUUUCAUUGUUUCGGAACAAUGGAUUAAACAAUACGAUACAAUCAGUUUUAUAUAAACAAUCAAAACAAACAUUGUAUGUGAGGUAACAAUACAAUACAAUACAACCGGAAACAACCAUCCAAACACAGUGUUAAACUCACAUUCUUGUCAAACUAAUAGGAGUAUAAUACAAAUUAUGCACCAUUAUCUAUAAUCUAUAAAAUUCUAAAGGGUUCCACAUCAAAAGAAAACUAUGUUCUAAGUAUUUGCUCCGAGAAUUUCAGAUGUCGUCACCAGAUGAUCUUCUGCAGUCAAGGAUGAAGUACUUUCACUCUUUGCAUCAAGGUUGAAUACUUAAUCUUCUUGCAUUGAAUAGAUUGAAAUGCACCCUAUAAAUUUAAAAGAAAUAAUAAUUAACACAAAAGAAUUAGUGAACCAAAAAGCGCAUUAAUACAAGAAUUUUUAGUAUACAAUAAGAGGGGAAAACUCAAAGCAACAAGAUAAGAAAAUAAACCUGUAUACUUUUUAAAAAACUUUUGAAAGAAUUCUCAUCUCAUUUUUGUAAUGUCUUUUCGACGAACUGCGGCUCCUCCCAAUAUUACAUUUUAAUCUUCAAAGUACCACUCAAUACCUAUCACAAUACGACAAAAUAUCUAUCAAAUUAUUAUAAUAUAAAUCCCAAAUUUUAAAUCAAAUAGGUGUAUUGGGAUCUAAAAAUCCUAAGAUAUAUAUACAUAAAUAUACCUGAAAAAAGAGAAGCCAUCGGGCUAUUUAGCCAGUGAUUCCGCUGGUUUGCUCUCUUCAUGUGAAGAGAGUCACUGUUGAAGAAGGAAAUGGAAAAGGGGGGAUGGGGUUGGCGGCAGGGUAGGGAAACAUAUAAAGUGAGAAUGUUAUUAGGUUUGUGAAUUUUGGUUUGGGC